CUCAGGGGUAGAACACUCUCCUAGCAUGUGUGGGUGCUAGGUUCAAUCCUGAGCACCACAAAAAUAAAAAAUAAAGAUAUUGUGUCUACCUAUAACUAAAAAAAAAAUGUUAAAAAAGUAACUUAUCUACUGGCUUAGGCACUUUAUAUGAAUGUAAAACAAGUAAGUUUUAUGAAAUGGAUUGGCUCUCUUUUUCUACAUAUAUGUAGAAAGAAACAAUGUUAAUAAAACUAAAGAAAUUUUAAAAGGGGGAUGGAUAGCAAAGAGUUUGUUUAGAUAAAAUUAUUUGGCAGUAACGUAGUUCCUGCAUGCUGUGAGUUGGACAUUAUUAAUGUGUUGGAGCACUCACGGACUCUAUCCUUGCCCUCUUCCUCUUGACCAGCAAGUGUCUUGUUGAGUUUUAUGGGAAUGUGAGAAAAGAACACUUUUACUUGACAUCAGUCGUCUUUUAAAUAUUUUGUGUCAUUCUUCCUAUCUGAAAAAAUCAAACUACACGUGUCUUGAUUGCUGUUCCUCUCAACAGAUAUGUAUUCCUAAAUUCCCUGAAGGCUGACUUCUGUCUCCUGUGCUGACAUUUUUAUUUGGAAGAUGAUCAAUCUUCCUUUUAGCUAAAAACAACUUUUUAGCCAUAUUUUAUAUAAUGCAUGUGUACCUACAUAUGAAGCUGUCUCCCACUUUCUAUACAGAAUAUCUCAAUAUAUUUUAGCUCAUAUUGGAUUUAUGAACUUAAAUGUGCUUGAAAUAUUACUUGACAUCUUAUUAUGUUUAGUAUAAUAUAUUUAAAGCAAUGUUAUAUAAAAUAGUAACUUAAAGGUACUAAGAGGGAUUUUUCCCCAUUCUAAUUAAUGAAAUAAUUUUAUUUCAAAAUAAAAUUUGACUUCUUUAUUUCUGAAAAAUAAUGUUGAGCCACUUUAAAUACUCAUGCUACUGGAUCCUGCAGUGGCCCACCCCUCUGCUGAGGUCUUCUGUCAUUGUCUCUCUGACACAGUGUUUUACAUGGUGUCUCCUGCUCCUCUUUCAUGUGCUUGUUUGAGUAUCAGGGCACAGAAUUCCUACAGCUCUUUCAUUCAUUCUUUGAGACAGUUCCUCUUAACCCUUGCCCCUUUGCUUUUCUCCAUCAUUCCCACUUCUCCACAGCUCACAUUUCCAGCCACACCACAAUGUGUUUCCAUCCUAAAGCUGAAACAACUGGAGUUGAAAUUGUCUGUGACAUUGUCAUCCUAAAUUCAGAUGUUUUAUAAUUGUAUGUUUAUUCUUCAUUGUUGAAUAAAAGUGACAACUUUCAGAUUUGAAAUACAAAGUAAAAUACCAAAAACAAUCUGUUUAUAGUAGUCUUGUAGAUAUCAGUCAAAACUCAAACCCCAGGACUGGGGUUGUGGUUCAGAGGUAGAACACUCACCUGGUGUGCAUGAGGCAAUAGGUUCAAUCCUCAGCACCACAUGAAAAUAAAAUAAAGAUAUUGUGUACACAUACAACUAAAAAUACAUGUUUAUGAAAAAAAUUCCAGGUACCUCAUGCCUUGGUGAUCUGUUUGUACCAUGAGUAGUAACACAAAGAACAUUUGGAUUGUAGAUAAGUUGAAUCAGACUGUAAAAGUAAAUCUUAAUAUGAAAAUGUAUUUAGUCAUUACUAUUUAUUUUUGUCUUCAAAAUGCAUACCUAAGUUAUUUUUUUUUUCUUUUAUAGGCAUCAGCUCUCCACAGGCUUUAAAGAAAUUUCUUUCCCUGACUGAGGAAGGAACUUUGGAAUGUCACAAGAAUCCAGCUGAUGAUAAAAUACCAAAGGCACCUUCGCAGCUGUCUCCUCCAACUUCCCCAGAGUUCUCCAAGGAAAGGUAGAACUAAAUGAGUUGUUCUUUUCCUUUAUCAAAAUAUAUACUUUUCAGUUUUAGUAAAUUUUAGAAUUAUUAUAUUGUAUCAUAUUAUAGAAUUUUAACAUUAUAAUAAUUUUAAUUAUCUCUUUUAUGAUGCUCAAUGGGUUUUUUGCCCUCUGUGAAUAGACUUGGAAUUUUUUUGUAUUUCUUUUUAUUGUUCUUAUACUUAAUAGAAUUAAAUUAAUAAAUAUAAAAUCAUUCUAAAAUUUAAGGUUUAUAUUGGCCCUGUGUAUAAAAGAUACUCUUUAUGUGAAAGUUACUUAUAACUAAUAUUGAUCAAAAAACAUUAAUACAGAAAAAGAGCUCCUUGGAAACAAAAAAAAUACUGAUGUUCCUAAUUUAUAUUUCCACUGUGUUAAUAUGGGUCUUGUGUUUUAGGCAAUCUAAAUAUUCUCCUUAUAUGGAUACUUUCUUAUGUUAAAAUAGAUGAUAAUUCUCUUCCCCAUAACUCUCCAUGUUCCUGCCUCCUCCUGCACUUUAAUUGAAAGGGUGGGUGUCAAUCAUUAGUAAAAGAGCUAAGAAUUAGUUUUCUUUUGAGGAAGAUCUAAAAGGUUAAUCAAUUAUUAGAUUUCACUCACUCAACAAAUGACUGCUUUUCUUUGUAUACAUUUCAGGCAUCUGUGCAUUUUGUGUGGGUGUCAGUUCUAGGCCCUUGUUAAAUGGUGGAUACGUCUCAAUUCAUUUCUCAUCCAGUUGUUAGGUGGUAGUGGAAGUCAGCUAAGAUGUUCUGGCUCUGGUAUUAACCAGUACCUCCUCUUCUCUUGAGAGUGAAAACAGUAAUUAGAAAACCAAGGCACCACUGACCCAUAGGAUGAUUCCUUUCUUUCCCACCCCAGUUUUGCUUCAUCUCAAUAAAUGAAGGAAAUGGGAGUAUUCCUCCAAUGCCAGGUGCUCCAUCUGAGUGAUGAUUUUUCUAAGCAGUGUUUUCUUUCUUAUUGUUUUUUUUUGUUUUGCUUUUGGUUUGGGUUUGGUUUUUUACCAAAAUUUCAGGGAGGGAUUUAAAUCUUUCUUAUUAGAAUUUGUAGUUUUUGUUUAUAAAAAGAUAUUUCAUAUAAGAAUAUGUUAAAUCUUUUAAACCCAGGUGUAAACUCUAAAUGAGUAAGUACAUAUUUAUUAUAUAGUUGGAAACAUACUUCAGUUAGGGGCACUUACAAUACAUAUAUAUAUAUAUAUAUAUAUAUAUAUAUAUAUAUAUAUAUAUUCUAAAUAUUUAUACAUAAAAAUAUUAUAUUUAGGAUAUAUAUCUACUGUGGUGUCCUUAAUACAUUAUAGAAAAGAAAAAAGUAAAUCCUGAGAAAGUUUGCUUUUCUUUUCUAUUAAACACAUAAAGACAAGCCUCUCCUUGAGAUUUUCAGAAUUAUUUUAGUAACAAAGGAGAUUUAAGGACAUGGUGAACCUGGAGAAUUAUGUGGAAGAAAAUUAACUAUUUUAAUAUAAGAAUGAAUCCAUAGAAGGAAAAGAUUUUGAUUGCCUAAAAUGUAGUCUCUUUAAAAAUAACAACAAAAAGAUAAUCAAGACUCAUAUUAACAUAAAGAAAAAAUAAAUCUGGAGUAUCAGUAUGUUUAUCAUGUUUUAUGUUUUCAAAGAGCUCUUCUGCAUUAAUGUUGUAUGAUCUGUUUAGGACAGGAAAUGGAGAUGUGUUGAGGCAUUUUACAAUGAUGGUCUUGGGGAAAGUACACAUUGUAUCCUCAACAAUUAGCUUUUCAUGUGAUUCAGCUAACACAUUCUUCACUUAUUUAUGUAUUUGUUUAUUUAGUUGUGAUUGGAAAGAAUACAUUUCUUUUAUUUAUUUAUUUUUAUUUGUGCUGAGGAUUGAACCCAGGGACUCACACGUACUAGGUGAGCACUCUACCACUGAGCCACAACCCCAUCCUGCUAAUACAUCCUUAAUGUUGAAAAAUGAGUAGCGAAAUUCCAAAGAGACACUCUUCAGGUGUUAUUUCUUAUUGUUUUUGAAGACAAUCUUCAGUUGAAUUUUUCUUUGCUGUACUUAUCACUCUAAAAAUUAAAAACAAGAUUAAUGACUUUGAAGUUUGAAAAAAAUCUCACUUUCAAGUCUACUCAGUUGUUUUUAUUUUUUUCCCAAUAUUGGAAUUCAAACCAGGCCAUGGGUAUAUGCUAGGCAAGCACUACUGUGUUUUGUCUCCAGCCCAAUUUCUAUUUUUGGUAGGGAGGGUGAUGUGGAUUGAACUUAGGGGCUUUCAACCACUGAGUCACAUCCACAGUACUAUGUGGUAUUUUAUUUAGAGAUUCACUGAGUGUCUUAGCACAUCACUUUUACUGAGGCUGACUUUGAACUCAUGAUCCUCAAACCUCAGCCUUCAGAGCUGCUGGGAUUGCAGGCGUGUGUCACUGCCCCCAGACAAAGUGUCCCUUUAUGGGUUAUAAUAGUAGUGUAAUUCAAAGCCAAGGGAGCUAAAAAUACUCAAGUUAUGCCAUGGUUUCUGCAUCACUUCAUAGCUUUUAUGACAGUAUACAUACACUUAUGACAGUAUACACACACACACACACACACAUACAAACACAGAUGUAUGUGUCCCUUUUUAACAUUUAAUUACAUGAUUUAGCUCCAUCAGAUUAAACACUUACUUUAAUGUUGUAUUCACUUUGUUAAUGAAACCCUACUUCAAUGGUGAUAAUCCAUGGCUACUUUCUUUGUUGCUUGUAUUUGGUGGACUUCAUUCUGAUGUUGUGAACCCAGAAUGUCUAACUUAUGUCAUUUUAUUUCUCAUGCAGGUCAUCCUUUGGCUCCCAGUGGUACUGUAUAUAAUUUUUCAGAUUCUGGUCACAGUGAAAUUUCUUCAUGAUCCAGUCUUGUCAGCAAUUCUUCUCUUGACUCUGUGCCCGUCUUGCUCCAGAGGCAUCCUGUCAGUACUGUGGAAACAAACUUCGGUGUGGCAGGACAGAAUGGUGGACCAUGACUAAACCCCAUCUACCUCUGGGGGUAGAUGGAUUUCCUUAGCAUUCUUUCACAUCCCUUCCUCCAAGAUUCUGUUAAGAAGGAGUUGCAUGUGGACUAUUAAGUAUCAUUUUUUGUUGUUGUUGUUGUUAAGCCUACUGCUUGGAAGUUAAGCUUCUAUA
Molecule: long non-coding RNA, 4953 nt
Filed under: Marmota monax (woodchuck)
Lineage: Eukaryota; Metazoa; Chordata; Mammalia; Rodentia; Sciuridae
Source: RNAcentral